GAUGAACGCUGGCGGCGUGCCUAAUACAUGCAAGUCGAGCGAACGGACGAGAAGCUUGCUUCUCUGAUGUUAGCGGCGGACGGGUGAGUAACACGUGGAUAACCUACCUAUAAGACUGGGAUAACUUCGGGAAACCGGAGCUAAUACCGGAUGAUAUUUUGAACCGCAUGGUUCAAAAGUGAAAGACGGUCUUGCUGUCACUUAUAGAUGGAUCCGCGCUGCAUUAGCUAGUUGGUAAGGUAACGGCUUACCAAGGCAACGAUGCAUAGCCGACCUGAGAGGGUGAUCGGCCACACUAGAACUGAGCCACGGUCCAGACUCCUACGGGAGGCAGCAGUAGGGAAUCUUCCGCAAUGGGCGAAAGCCUGACGGAGCAACGCCGCGUGAGUGAUGAAGGUCUUCGGAUCGUAAAACUCUGUUAUUAGGGAAGAACAUAUGUGUAAGUAACUGUGCACAUCUUGACGGUACCUAAUCAGAAAGCCACGGCUAACUACGUG
RNAcentral lists this ribosomal RNA (497 nucleotides) under uncultured bacterium. RNAcentral describes it as "partial 16S ribosomal RNA". It matches the Rfam family "Bacterial small subunit ribosomal RNA", at positions 28 to 507 of the family's 1533-position model. The record is from RNAcentral.